This 406-nucleotide ribosomal RNA is filed under the name uncultured bacterium. Its description in RNAcentral is "partial 16S ribosomal RNA". It matches the Rfam family "Bacterial small subunit ribosomal RNA", at positions 30 to 526 of the family's 1533-position model. The record is from RNAcentral.
AUUGAACGCUGGCGGCAUGCCUAACACAUGCAAGUCGAACGAGUGGCGGACGGGUGAGUAAUGUCUGGGAAACUGCCUGAUGGAGGGGGUUAACUACUGGAAACGGUAGCUAAUCCCGCAUACCAUCAGAUGUGCCCAGAUGGGACUGGCUAGUUGGUUGGGUAACGGCUCACCAAGGCGACGCUCCCUAGCUGGUCUGAGAGGAUGACCAGCCACACUGGAACUGAGACACGGUCCAGACCCCUACGGGAGGAAGCAGUGGGGAAUAUUGCACAAGGGGCGCAAGCCUGAUGCAGCCAUGCCGCGUGUAUGAAGAAGGCCUUCGGGUUGUAAAGUACUUUCAGCGGGGAGGCGUUACCCGCAGAAGAAGCACCGGCUAACUCCGUGCCAGCAGCCGCGGUAAUAC